This is an RNA transcript of Triticum aestivum (bread wheat), 3160 nucleotides long. It is a transcript of the gene named dual specificity protein kinase zak2, with no coding region annotated. NCBI's taxonomy places the organism in Eukaryota, Viridiplantae, Streptophyta, Magnoliopsida, Poales, Poaceae. The transcript is spliced from 14 exons. The record is from RefSeq and is a predicted model, not a curated record.
GUGGUGCGUGGGGCCCUAGGUAGUGCGCGUGUGUGGAACGACCGGCGCAAAUUUCAGCCGGUUCGCCGGCUCGAAGCGUUUCCCUUUACCAAAAGCAAUGGCGGCCUUUAACUGACGUAUAGGCGUAUAGCGUUGACGGACGUCACCACUGUCCAUUCGGCGGAACCAGUCGAGAUCUUGUUUGCCCUCCGCGGAUCCUCACGGAGACGAGAUUGAUGUGCGCGUUGCCUCUGUGAUUAUAGCUGUAAUCGCCGGCUGGUUCUGGUUUCGUCGCCACCAUGAAGCAAAAGAUUGUGGUGAAGGUCGAGCUCAAGGACAACAAACAGAAGUCGAAAGCGUUGACAGCAGUCGCCGUUCUCCCUGGCGUCGAGUCGAUUUCUUUGGAAAUUGAUGGGAAUAUCAUGGUCAUUGGGGACGGCGUUGACCCCGUCCACGCCGUGGGAAAGCUGCGAAGGUUGUUUGGGCAUGCUUUUCUCGUCUCCGUCGAGGAGAUCAUCAAGAAGAAAGACGACAGCGGCCAGGAGGAGGACGAAAGCGGUGCGACUCCUCCGUGCGAGUUUACAUUCGGGCUCUUGAACCGUAUCACAAAUAGUUUCUCAGGGGAGCGCAUAAUUGGUCGUGGUCGGCGUGGAGUAGUUUACAAGGGGGUACAGGACAAUGGGGAAUAUAUUGCUGUGAAGAAGCUUAAUCUCAUGCCAGGGCUUGACGACGAGGAAUUCAAAAAUGAGUUUAAUAAUCUUAUGAGGGUCCAACAUCAAAAUACCAUACGGUUAGUUGGUUACAGCCAUCAUACAACGCAAGUGCUUGCUGACCACAAUGGAAAAUAUGUUUCUGCUAGAGUGAAAGAAAGAUCUCUAUGUUCCGAAUACUUGGAGGGAGGAAGCCUUGACAAGCAUCUUUCUAAUGAACCAUGUGCUCUUGUCUGGCACACAUGUUACGAAAUAAUUAAGGGACUGUGUGAGGGCUUACAUUACCUUCACAAAGGAUUCGAAUAUCCUAUUUACCAUCUGGAACUGAAACCUACAAAAGUUUUGCUGGAUAAGGACAUGAUGCCCAAAAUUGGAGGUUUUGGUUUCUCUAGGCUCUUUGAUUCAAUAGAAGCCUCCAACACGCCAGAAGUUACAGCAACAAGAGUAUACAUGCCGCCAGAAUACAUCAGUAAACGGCUAAUCACACCAAAGUUUGAUGUAUUCAGUCUGGGCAUUAUAAUCUUGCAAAUCAUGGCAGGAAAGGAGAGCUACACCAAGUGUAUAGAUACUUCCCCCGAAGUAUUUAUUGAGAGUGUAUAUGAAUUCUGGGUAAACAGGAUGCAGGGCACAAUAUCAAAGCAUACUUCGCGUGAAGUUAGAACAUGCAUCGAAAUAGCUCUAAAAUGUGUGGAGUUCAGUCGAGAAAAGAGGCCUACUAUAAAGGAGAUCAUACAGAAACUGAAUAAGAUUGAUAUUGUUGAGUGCUCAUCUAUACAUCAGCUAUAUAGAGCAAAAGAGUUUUCAUUUGAGUUCUUAGAAAAUAUUACUGAUAAAUUUUCUAAGCAAAACAUAGUUGGCCGUGGUGGAUAUGGAAUUAUUUACAAGGGGGUGCUGAAGGAUGGAGAAGAGGUUGCUGUUAAGAAACUUCAUCAAAUGUUGUGGAUUGAUGAUGAACAAUUCAAAAACGAGCUUAAUAAUCUAAUGAGGGUCCAACACAAAAAUAUCGUACGGUUAGUUGGCUACUGCCACCAUGCAUCACAUAUAUUUGUUGAGUACGAGGGAAAACAUGUUUCUGCUAGCGUGGUAGAAAGAGCAAUUUGUUUGGAAUAUGUGCAGGGUGGAAACCUUGACAAUCAACUUUCUGCUGAAUCUUGCAGACUUGAUUGGGACAAAUGUUACAAAAUAAUAAAAGGAAUAUGUGAGGGUUUACAUUACCUUCAUAAUGCUGAUACUCCCAUUUACCAUCUGGACUUGAAGCCAGAAAAUAUUUUGUUAGAUAAGGAUAUGGUAGCAAAAAUUGGUGAUUUCGGUUUGUCAAGACUUUUUGAUUCACCACAAACCUAUAUGACACAAUCCCAAGAUAUUAAAGGAACACGUGGAUACAUGCCACCAGAAUACAUCAACCGACAGGCAAUCAGUCCCAAGUUUGACGUAUUUAGUCUCGGGGUCAUAAUCAUACAAAUAAUGGCAGGAAAGGAGGGCUACUUCAGUUGUCCAUACACCCCUCCGAAAGAAUUUAUUACAACUGUACGUGAAAACUGGCGAACAAAGGUGGAGGCAACAGUGUCGCCCCAUGCAUCUGAACAAGUGAGGACAUGCAUCGAAAUAGCGUUGAAAUGUGUGGAGGAUGACCGAACGCGAAGGCCUACAAUAGCCCACAUUGUUAAUGAACUAAGUAACAUUGGUGUUGCUAAAGGAUCACCCAUUCGCCAGUGGGCGGACAAGCUGACUGCGUUAAAGACCUUGUUAUUAUCCACUCACUUCAAACAUUGGCUGUUCCUCUUUGUCGCAGCGAUUUCCAUGUUUUUCGCAUGGGCUAAAUUCUGUCCAGAUUCAUGGUGGCAAGGCAUUACAAGGAGAACGUAAACCGCAGCACAUACUGGAUGCCUUCAUCUACGCGCCCCGAAAGGCGGUAGCAGGGAGAAUAGUUUCUAUACGAAGGAUGUUAGUGAUUUCCAUAUUAGUUUCUGCUGUCAAGCAAGCAAAUGGCUAUCUUCGGUCAGUAGAGUGCUAGGGCGUCCACUGAUGUCCCAGCCGCAGCUUCUGGAGCCGAGCUGCGGUCUCAAGCUUUGGCGAGGCGGCGAGCUCCCUCCCUCCAACCAAGGACUGGCGCGAGGUGUUUGACGAAAUGGAUGUGUGGAUUAGCAAACAAUUUCUUUGGGCAUUUAAGCUUAGAGAGCAAGGACCAAGUGCAAGAAAGGUGAGCUCCUCAAAUGUUAGCAGGUUGAACCUCAUCCCGCUGAAGAACAUGCUGGAUCGGUGUGGCCAUCUCCAUCAUCUUUCGCCAUUAGAAGCCCUGCUUAAAGAAAUUAAACCUUUGCAUGGUGCGUGUUGCGUAUGACAAUGUAAAAAAAAAUCUGGAUGGCAACCAUGUGUGGGUUGGCCAUCUGCCUCAGCUUGUACUGAACUGGUGUGCUGGCGGUUUUUAUGGAAUGCGAGAGCAGCGUUCCUUGCAAAAAAUUGAGCAAAUA